RNAcentral lists this ribosomal RNA (242 nucleotides) under uncultured bacterium. Its description in RNAcentral is "partial 16S ribosomal RNA". It matches the Rfam family "Bacterial small subunit ribosomal RNA", at positions 333 to 567 of the family's 1533-position model. The record is from RNAcentral.
GAGAUACUACGGGGGGCAGCGGUAGGGAAUCUUCCACAAUGGACGAAAGUCUGAUGGAGCAACGCCGCGUGAGUGAAGAAGGGUUUCGGCUCGUAAAGCUCUGUUGGUAGUGAAGAAAGAUAGAGGUAGUAACUGGCCUUUUUUUGACGGUAAUUACUUAGAAAGUCACGGCUAACUACGUGCCAGCAGCCGCGGUAAUACGUAGGUGGCAAGCGUUGUCCGGAUUUAUUGGGCGUAAAGCG